This 437-nucleotide ribosomal RNA is filed under the name uncultured bacterium. RNAcentral's name for it is "bacterial SSU rRNA". It matches the Rfam family "Bacterial small subunit ribosomal RNA", at positions 29 to 507 of the family's 1533-position model. The record is from RNAcentral.
AGCGAACGCUGGCGGCAGGCCUAACACAUGCAAGUCGAGCGGCCGUAGCAAUACGGCAGCGGCAGACGGAGAGUAACACGUGGGAACGCGCCCUUCGGUUCGGGAUAACCCAGGGAAACUUGGGCUAAUACCGGAUACGCCCUUACGGGGAAAGAUUUAUCGCUGAAAGAUGGUCUCGCGUCUGAUUAGCUAGUUGGUGAGGUAACGGCCCACCAAGGCGACGAUCAGUAGCCGGUCUGAGAGGAUGAACGGCCACAUUGGGACUGAGAUACGGCCCAGACUCCUACGGGAGGCAGCAGUGGGGAAUAUUGGGCAAUGGGGGAAACCCUGACCCAGCAACGCCGCGUGAAGGAAGAAGGCCUUCGGGUUGUAAACUUCUUUUAGCAGGGACGAAGGACGUGACGGUACCUGCAGAAAAAGCAACGGCUAACUACGUG